UAGAGUUUGAUCCUGGCUCAGGAUGAACGCUGGCGGCGUGCCUAACACAUGCAAGUCGAACGAAGUAUUAUGAAGCCUUCGGGCGGAUUAAAACUUAGUGGCGGACGGGUGAGUAACGCGUGGGUAACCUGCCUCAUACAGGGGGAUAACAGCUGGAAACGGCUGCUAAAACCGCAUAUGCACACAGUAUCGCAUGAUACAGUGUGGAAAUAUUUAUAGGUAUGAGAUGGGCCCGCGUCUGAUUAGCUAGUUGGUGAGGUAAUGGCUCACCAAGGCGACGAUCAGUAGCCGGCUUGAGAGAGUGACCGGCCACAUUGGGACUGAGACACGGCCCAAACUCCUACGGGAGGCAGCAGUGGGGAAUAUUGCACAAUGGGGGAAACCCUGAUGCAGCGACGCCGCGUGAGUGAAGAAGUAUUUCGGUAUGUAAAGCUCUAUCAGCAGGGACGAAAAUGACGGUACCUGACUAAGAAGCCCCGGCUAACUACGUGCCAGCAGCCGCGGUAAUACGUAGGGGGCAAGCGUUAUCCGGAUUUACUGGGUGUAAAGGGAGCGUAGGUGGUUCGGUAAGUCAGAUGUGAAAGCCCGGGGCUCAACUCCGGGAUUGCAUUUGAAACUGUCGGGCUAGAGUGCAGGAGAGGUAAGUGGAAUUCCUAGUGUAGCGGUGAAAUGCGUAGAUAUUAGGAGGAACACCAGUGGCGAAGGCGGCUUANNNNNCUGUAACUGACANU
Molecule: ribosomal RNA, 731 nt
Filed under: bacterium enrichment culture clone 4-40
Lineage: Bacteria
Description: bacterial SSU rRNA
Rfam family: Bacterial small subunit ribosomal RNA
Source: RNAcentral